UGAGCAAUCUGCCCUUCUCUUUGGAAUAAGCGUUGGAAACGACGUCUAAUGCCGAAUACGACCUCCUUUCGCAUGAUCGGAGGUGGAAAGCUCCGGCGGAGAAGGAUGAGCUCGCGGCCUAUCAGCUAGUUGGUGUGGGUAACGGCCCACCAAGGCGACGACGGGUAGCCGGCCUGAGAGGGUGACCGGCCACACUGGGACUGAGACACGGCCUAGACUCCGUAACGGGGAAGCAGCAGG
Molecule: ribosomal RNA, 240 nt
Filed under: uncultured bacterium
Lineage: Bacteria
Description: partial 16S ribosomal RNA
Rfam family: Bacterial small subunit ribosomal RNA
Source: RNAcentral